AGAGUUUGAUCCUGGCUCAGGAUGAACGCUAGCGGCAGGCCUAAUACAUGCAAGUCGAACGAUACCAGGGAGCUUGCUCUCUGGGAAAGUGGCGCACAGGUGCGUAACGCGUAUGCAACCUACCUUUAUCAGGGGGAUAGCCUCUCGAAAGAGAGAUUAACACCGCAUAAAAUCAAAGAACGGCAUCGUUUAAUGAUCAAAUAUUUAUAGGAUAAAGAUGGGCAUGCGUGACAUUAGCUAGUUGGUGAGGUAACGGCUCACCAAGGCGACGAUGUCUAGGGGAUCUGAGAGGAUGACCCCCCACACUGGUACUGAGACACGGACCAGACUCCUACGGGAGGCAGCAGUAAGGAAUAUUGGUCAAUGGAGGCAACUCUGAACCAGCCAUGCCGCGUGCAGGAAGACGGCCCUAUGGGUUGUAAACUGCUUUUAUUCGGGAAUAAACCCUUUUACGUGUAAGAGGUUGAAUGUACCGAAAGAAUAAGGAUCGGCUAACUCCGUGCCAGCAGCCGCGGUAAUACGAAGGGUGCAAGCGUUACUCGGAAUUACUGGGCGUAAAGCGUGCGUAGGUGGUGAGUUAAGUCUGUCGUGAAAGCCCCGGGCUCAACCUGGGAAUGGCGAUGGAUACUGGCUCGCUAGAGUGCGGUAGAGGAGAGUGGAAUUCCCGGUGUAGCAGUGAAAUGCGUAGAGAUCGGGAGGAACAUCAGUUGCGAAGGCGGCUCUCUGGACCAGCACUGACACUGAGGCACGAAAGCGUGGGGAGCAAACCAGGAUUAGAUACCCUGGUAGUCCACGCCCUAAANCGAUGCGAANCUGGANCGUUGGGAGCAAUCCAGGCUCUCAGUGUCGAAGCUAACCGCGUUAAGUUCGCCGCCUGG
Molecule: ribosomal RNA, 878 nt
Filed under: uncultured bacterium
Lineage: Bacteria
Description: bacterial SSU rRNA
Rfam family: Bacterial small subunit ribosomal RNA
Source: RNAcentral